RNAcentral lists this ribosomal RNA (468 nucleotides) under uncultured bacterium. RNAcentral describes it as "partial 16S ribosomal RNA". It matches the Rfam family "Bacterial small subunit ribosomal RNA", at positions 28 to 507 of the family's 1533-position model. The record is from RNAcentral.
GACGAACGCUGGCGGCGUGCUUUACACAUGCAAGUCGAACGGAAAGGCCCUGCUUUUGUGGGGUGCUCGAGUGGCGAACGGGUGAGUAACACGUGAGUAACCUGCCCUUUACUUUUGGAUAACUUCAGGAAACUGGGGCUAAUACCGGAUAGGAGCUCCUGCUGCAUGGUUGGGGUUGGAAAGUUUCGGCGGUUGGGGAUGGACUCGCGGCUUAUCAGCUUGUUGGUGGGGUAGUGGCUUACCAAGGCUUUGACGGGUAGCCGGCCUGAGAGGGUGACCGGCCACAUUGGGACUGAGAUACGGCCCAGACUCCUACGGGAGGCAGCAGUGGGGAAUAUUGCACAAUGGGCGGAAGCCUGAUGCAGCAACGCCGCGUGCGGGAUGACGGCCUUCGGGUUGUAAACCGCUUUCGCCUGUGACGAAGCGUGAGUGACGGUAAUGGGUAAAGAAGCACCGGCUAACUACGUG